RNAcentral lists this ribosomal RNA (225 nucleotides) under Triticum aestivum (bread wheat). Its description in RNAcentral is "partial small subunit ribosomal RNA". The record is from RNAcentral. Lineage: Eukaryota; Viridiplantae; Streptophyta; Magnoliopsida; Poales; Poaceae.
AUGGUUAGGUGGUCUGAGGUCUGCAAGCCUCGCGACCAGGGCGGACUCGGGAUUAUGUCAUCCAAACGCAUGAACAUUGCCCUCCUGACUCGGUCGCUUUGGCGGAUUGCCAACGUAGAUGGUGGCCUGUGGCUUCGCAUCAUUCAGCAGAAAUACCUCCGAGGCCAGCCUCUCGCUUUCUGCCAGCGAUCUGGGGGAUCCCAAUUCUGGCAAUCCGUCAUCUAG